ACAAUUUGAGUCAUUACAGUAAAACAUGGAUUAUAAGUGAAUUAUACGCGUAAGAGAAGAUUUUCUGUCGAAAAAACUAAUGUCAACAAUCAGCAUGGAAUUGGGAUAUUCGUAUCAAAGGGCUAUUCAUGCAGGAAAAGGACUGAAUAUUACUAUUAUAUGAAGAAUUCCAGCCUGCAUUAAAUACUUUGUUGGAUCAUUGAGACAGAUUUGACAUCCAUGUCUAUCCACAUCUGAUAGAGAUGAUCACUAAACAUUCUAGAUGGGUAAAGACCUGUUAAAUCAGCAUUGACUCAGCAUUGAGUAAUUUUCAUCUGUGCAGACACAACAAGUACAAACGCAUGGGAACAAACCAAACUUCAAAUGUUGAAGAGUGAAGAAUUAUUGUGAAAAGUUCUAAAUGUUAGAAUACCAUUGACUAAAUAAAACAAAUAGACAUCGAUUACCAGCAGAGACUGUUUACAUGUUAUAAUAUUAAAAAGACAUUAGUUGAGAACUUUCACUCUGACAUUUUUGGAGGGGCA
Long non-coding RNA from Mya arenaria, 524 nucleotides. RefSeq lists it as uncharacterized. The transcript is spliced from 3 exons. The record is from RefSeq and is a predicted model, not a curated record. Lineage: Eukaryota; Metazoa; Mollusca; Bivalvia; Myida; Myidae.